Molecule: long non-coding RNA, 850 nt
Filed under: Corvus moneduloides (New Caledonian crow)
Lineage: Eukaryota; Metazoa; Chordata; Aves; Passeriformes; Corvidae
Description: lncRNA (ENSCMUG00000017611.1)
Source: RNAcentral
AAUCUAACUGAUUUCUUCCAUUUUUAUGCUUUAUAUUCUAGGUUGAGCCCUCCUUCACCUCCAGGAAGUGAGGAGAUGGCUGCUCCCUGCCAAGAAAGCGCAGCCAGGUUUCUGGCACAUUCUGAGCAGGCAAAGGGCUGGUGUCUGAGGUUGGCAAGGGCGAUGCUUCUUCAAGUGCACGCGGCACCUCCAGUCACUCAUCGCUCAAAAAAGUCACAGAAGGGGAGAGGGGGGUAGCAGAUGAAAUGUUUGCAAGGAAAGCAGAAUAAUAUGCAAAACCAAGAUGAAACAUGUUUCAGGUCUACAUUACAAUUCAGACAGAAAUUUAAAUCAGCUGAAGACACCAGAAUAAAAUGCUCUGUAAGUGUUCUACGCUAUCAGUUACUCAAGGGAUACUUGCAGGUAACACGGCUUUCAGUGCACAUUGCUUCCUUUGCAGCCUUUGAUGUGACCUUGUGAAAGGUAGGUUCCCUUCAGGAAUGUGCUCUGAGGUCUGAGGCAACUCAGCUGGAACUGUGGGAGCAUGGUGUUUCCAUAGACAAGGUUCCAAACUUGCUCUUGCUCUUAAAAAAGAAAGAAUAUCACGGUAUAGUCUGGUGAUACUGAGAAUACAAAUACCCAGUAUCAAUUGUGCUGUGAGAGUGUCAUUUGUGCCUUAUAUUCCAAUUAAAUGAAUUAAAUUUUUUUCAGGUCCUUUACAAAAUUAGAUGUAGAGAGUGUCCAAACCAUCACCAGUGAAAAUGAUGCCAGUUGGAACACUUCUAGUGAAAAAUUUGGUUUUGAGAGAACAGGUAGUUUCGUUAAAAAGUGUUCACUGACCUCCAAAUAUGCCUUCCUUGCAUAAACCCAG